GUGCUCACUUUGGCAGCACAUAUACUAAAAUUGGAACGAUACAGAGAAGAUUAGCAUGGCCCCUGCACAAGGAUGACAUGCAAAUUCAUGAAGCGUUCCAUAUUUAA
This 107-nucleotide small nuclear RNA is filed under the name Canis lupus familiaris (dog). The record is from RNAcentral. RNAcentral also lists the same sequence under 1 other name. Lineage: Eukaryota; Metazoa; Chordata; Mammalia; Carnivora; Canidae.